AAUUAUUGCUCAUGUACGUCGCUCUGGAUAAGAGCGUCUGCUAAAUGACGUAAA
Molecule: non-coding RNA, 54 nt
Organism: Salmo salar (Atlantic salmon)
Lineage: Eukaryota; Metazoa; Chordata; Actinopteri; Salmoniformes; Salmonidae
Source: Rfam